UACGUAGGGUGCGAGCGUUAAUCGGAAUUACUGGGCGUAAAGCGUGCGCAGGCGGUUUGUUAAGUCAGAUGUGAAAGCCCCGGGCUUAACCUGGGAACGGCAUUUGAAACUGGCAGGCUGGAGUACGGCAGAGGGGGGUGGAAUUCCACGUGUAGCAGUGAAAUGCGUAGAGAUGUGGAGGAACACCGAUGGCGAAGGCAGCCCCCUGGGCCGAUACUGACGCUCAGGCACGAAAGCGUGGGGAGCAAACAGG
This 253-nucleotide ribosomal RNA is filed under the name uncultured bacterium. RNAcentral describes it as "partial 16S ribosomal RNA". It matches the Rfam family "Bacterial small subunit ribosomal RNA", at positions 524 to 776 of the family's 1533-position model. The record is from RNAcentral.